Molecule: unclassified non-coding RNA, 376 nt
Filed under: uncultured Gammaproteobacteria bacterium
Lineage: Bacteria; Pseudomonadati; Pseudomonadota; Gammaproteobacteria
Description: contains 16S-23S intergenic spacer region
Source: RNAcentral
UCCGGUUUGUCACCGGCAGUCUCCUUAAAGUGCCCAACUGAAUGAUGGCAACUAAGGACAAGGGUUGCGCUCGUUACGGGACUUAACCCAACAUCUCACGACACGAGCUGACGACAGCCAUGCAGCACCUGUCUCCGGGUUCCCGAAGGCACUCCCGCAUCUCUGCAGGAUUCCCGGGAUGUCAAGAGUAGGUAAGGUUCUUCGCGUUGCGUCGAAUUAAACCACAUGCUCCACCGCUUGUGCGGGCCCCCGUCAAUUCAUUUGAGUUUUAACCUUGCGGCCGUACUCCCCAGGCGGUCGACUUAUCGCGUUAGCUGCGCCACUAAAGGGUCAAGCCCCCCAACGGCUAGUCGACAUCGUUUACGGCGUGGACUAC